This 153-nucleotide small nuclear RNA is filed under the name Chrysemys picta bellii (western painted turtle). RNAcentral describes it as "U2 spliceosomal RNA (ENSCPBG00000021314.1)". The stretch from base 1 to 110 matches the Rfam family "U2 spliceosomal RNA". Rfam says of the family: U2 is a small nuclear RNA (snRNA) component of the spliceosome (involved in pre-mRNA splicing). The record is from RNAcentral. Lineage: Eukaryota; Metazoa; Chordata; Testudines; Emydidae.
ACCUCUAUGAGCUAAGAUCAAGCGUAGUAUCUGUUCUUAUCAGUUUAAUAUCUGAUAUGUUCUCGAUGUGAGAACUUUAUAUUAAAUGGACAUCUGCAGGGUGUUUCCCAGUAGAUGAUUGGUGUAAUUGGCUAAUGCUGCUGCUACUAACCC